CAUAACCUUUUCCCAAAAAUUGUGCCAAUUAUUGACAGUGUUCAGUUGACUGAAGGAACUGGUGAAGCUGGCACCAUCAAGAUACUCAACAUAAAAGAAGGUCAGUAAUUAACUUUUAAAUUCAUCAUCACCUUUAUCUAAAAAAGUAUAUAAACGAGAAAGAAAAAUUCAGAUUUGAAUUUAAUUUCAACAUAUUAUGAAAUAUGUCUAAGGUUACUAUGUAAACAAGUUAAAAAAGUUUUUUCUCAACGUAAAAUCUACUAUUUUUUCAAAUUUAUAAAUUUAAUCUCUAAAUAAAUUUUGUCUACUUUUAUUCGUUGUUUUGAUUUUAUAAAAGCUAAAUUCAAGACUAAAAACACUUUUUUUUGUAAUAAUUAAUAAAAAAAAGACUUAAAUUAAAUUAUUUAUUUACAUAGACUAAAUUUAACUUAUAAUUUUUUAAGAACUAAAAAUUUAUUUAGAGUAAGAAGUGAGGAUUAUAUAGUAAAAAUUAAAUUGUCAAUUAAUCUAAGGGUGUUUGGAUGCAAAAAGACUAGUCUCUUUCAGAUUGAUUAUGGUUGAAUCUAAAUCUUAAAAAUGCAGCAGUCACCGUCUAGAUACUCAAAAUGUCAAAUUUUGAUUCCAUGUUAUCAAUGCAUUCAGACAUCUCUAAAUCUUAAAAAUGUAUUUAGGCCAUCAAUUACCAUCUAAUCAAGAUAGGACCAUAUAAAAAAUGUUGAAAUAUUUUUAAAUUAUAAUUUAAAAUUUGAUCUGAUAUUUAGACCAUCAAAUUUUAAUCUAACGGUGAUUGAUGUCAAAAUUUAUGAAUGUAGAAUUCCUUUCGUUGUGCAGAAUUCAAAUCCCAAAAUAUCUUAUUCAAAGCGUAAAACUUACAAAAAUAUCUUUUAUUUUCAAUUUCUAAAAGUCUUUGUAAUUGUGUGUUCAGUUUAUAAAAAAAAAACAAAAAAUCAAGUAAAAUUGAAAUAAUAUAUAUAUGUUCACAUAUAUACCUAAAACAAUUUAUUUUUGUUCUCAUAAAAAAAAUUGAUUUUUCAAUUAGUGGCUAUUACUUUUUUUUCCUUUUUCUUUUAAGUGAAUUUUUACAACAUAGUCUAUAAUCAUGGUUGAUUUAAAGGAAUUGAGAAAUGAAUAAUUUUGAUGGGUGCAGGGGACCAAAUCAAGCAAGUGCUGCACAGAGUGGAUGAAAUUGAUGAAAUAAAAUUUAUAUACAAUUUCAGCAUAAUUGGAGGCACUGGUUUAGCUGACACAUUGGAAAAAGUGUCAUUCAAGAGCCAAUUGUUUGAUGACGAAAAUGGAGGAACAAUUAGGAAAGUACAUGUUGAGUAUUUUACCAAAGGUGAUUAUCAACUCACUGAGGAGGAGCUCAAAGCUGGUAAAGAUAAGGUUGAAGGCCUUAUUAAGAUUUGUGAAGGUUACCUUUUGGCUAAUCCUGAUUAUUGAAUGUGUUUCAUUAAGGAUUAAUUAAUAAAACUUUGAUAUGCUGCCAAAUUAAUAAUACUCAGAUCAAGUUUCUGUUUUAAGCUGAAGCCUAAGAAUGAGUUAUGAGUAUGUUUUUGUAUUUGAAGAAAAUUUAUGUGUUGAGCCAUGGACUAGUAGUGAUUGGAAGGGUUGUAUUUUCUAUUUUACAAGAGAAAAUCUACUGCAUUUCAUUUAUAAUCAAAGUUACAUUUAUAUUUAUUUUUUUAAGCAAAACAAAGGAUGAAACUAGAAUUACCAAAAAAGAGAAAUAUUUGUUUGGAAACAGUACUUAAACAUAUAUAAAUAUAUUAAAUAAGAGAUAUUUCUCAAUUGGUUUUUUAAAUUUGUGAGUAUAUAUAUGCUCAGAUAUUUUUAGAGAAGGAAUGUUAUCCAAAUUAAAUUGUUACCUUCGACAAAACGCUGAAAUAUAUAAUAUAUAUAAAGACAAUGACGAAAAUCAGAUCAUAAAAAAAUCACGUUAUUUAAAAAUAAAAAUGUUCCCCACUUAUCGAGAAGUCCCCUUUGCUGACCUGACACAAUAUGUAGGUGUUGGAAAUGAUGAUGCUUUAAUGAAAGUUUAUUGGAAAUAAUGAUGACAUUUAUGAGAGUUAGUGUUGUUGUGAAUUGAAAAAAUUGAGAAGUCCUAGAUUGGAGGGAUACCACACACUAGUAGGAUAUAUAAGGUGGAGGUAAAGAACUUGGCUUGGCUUGACUUUACUUUGCUUUGGCUACGUAGUGUAUUAUUAUUUUUUGCAUGAAAAUUAAUUAAUCAUUUUAAUUAAUUGAUUGCUUGCGUUUUAUCUCUAAUUGAAACGUUAAUUACGUCUGAUCCAGUCUUUCUCCCUGAAUUCAUGCGCCUGUUUUUGCCCGGUCAAAACCCUAAUCUUUGGUCUCACGUUUCCUUUGUUGUCCGGUCAAAAGUCAGAGUCAAAUCCCUAAGUUUGGAGCACACGUUUUGGGGGCUUCGAGCGCACGUUUCUGAGGGCCACUACUUGGAGCGCAGGUUCUGAUGAUCCACGGUUUUCUCAGAUCCAGUUGCGUAUUUCCUCUAUAAAUAGAGGGUUCUCCACAGUUGGAAAAUCACACCAAAAGCUAUCUAUAUCUGAGACUUUUCUCACUUCUCCCCCUUCUUACUGCUUCUUCUCUUUCUUUUGAGUGGUCUUUGUGUCAUAUUACGAGUGUCAUUCGUAAGACUGCCAUAUUGAGGGUGUAAUUUUAUAACGGUUUUCUACAGUGCAAUAGAACUCCGAUACAGAGUAUCUGAGCUGUUUUAUCCUGGGGACUUCGUAAGACUGCCACAAUUUUGGGCAGUGUCUCAAAACGUCUUAAAGAGAGCGACCUAGUCCACGACUCAACCCAAUAAUAUUUUCGGUGGCAUAAUUGUUUUCAAAAUUUUUUUUUCGAAAUUCAAAAAUAACAGUAAGACAUUACUAUAAAAUAUUUAUUCAUCACAGUACAAAUUGGGUUCAAUCUUUCAUAAAUACCCACAUCUCUAUCUAUUUAUAAGAUGCUUAGAUUUUUCAAAACUCUAUCACUUGAGAUGAUCUAUUUAUGAAAGAAUAAUAAUAAUAGUUAAAAAAUAAGCUAAAUUACAUUUGUGGUUCCUUAACUUAACAAGAAUAUAUUUUAGUUAUUUAUCUAUUUUUUUUUCUCGAGUUGGUUCUUUAUUUUAAUUUUAAGUGAUAAUUUGAUAUUUUAUGUUUUAAAAUUUCAACAAUGUUAUCAUUUUUAUACAAAAAUUCAAAAAAAGUCAUCAAAAUUUUCAACAAAAACCCAUAAAAUUAAUAAUCUUCAAUAUAAUGCAAAUUUUAUCAAAUUUAUCACUCAAAUAUUCAAAUACACUCAUAUUUUCAUCUCCAACAACAUCAAAUAAAGAAUGAAAAUAUGAGUUUAUUUCAAGAUUUAAGUUAUGAAUUUGAUUAAAUUUGUAUUUUAUUGAAGAUGAUAAUGAAUUUUAUGGGUUUUGUUUGAAAAAUUUGAUGAUUUUUUUUAAUUUUGGUAAAAAAAAGGACAACAUUGUUGACAUUUUAAAACAUAAAAUAUCAAAUUGUCACUUAAAAUUAAAAUAAAUGAUCAACUCGAGAAAAAAAAUAUAUAUAUAAAUGACUAAAACGUUACCUGAAAUUAAGUUAAGGAACCACCAAAUGUAAUUUAGUCUAAAAAAUAUUAAUCGCAUCUUUUUAUAUUAAAUAGACUUUCAAGUAUUUAGGUAUUUAAAUGAAAUUUUAUAAAGUAAUUAUAUUUUAAUUCAUCUAAUUUUCUCAAUAUUUAUUUAGUGUCUCAUUUUUCUGGAUACUUUUUUAUUACAUAACGAAUAUAUCAUAUUAUUCUAUAUAUUUUAUUCUAUUUCAAAGUAUAUAUAUAUAUCAAUUUUUUUCUUUUAUAUCACUAUUAUUAUUGAUGAGAAAAAAAAUCAAUAUAAUAAUAAGGUUUCUAAGGGAUUUUCAAAAUAGUUGGAGUUUUAAAAGAGAGAGUUAUUUUUUUAAAGAUCACUCCCUAUUAGUCACCUCCACUAAAGAAUAAUAAAUAUAAAUAGCUAUUAGAAAGUAAGUCUUCUACAGAUAUUCUCUCUUUUCUAUAUGAUGCAGACUGCACCACUAAGAAAAUGUAAAUAAUGUGUUUUUGCUAUUAUUGUUGUUAAAAAUAAUCGUAUAAAGUUAUUAUUAAUCUCAUUUAAUAACUUUUUAGAAGCACCGGAGAGUUUUUUAAGGACUAUUAAUAAAAAAAAUAAAAAAAAAAUAAAUGAAUGGUGUGUACGUGGCUCUAUGCGGAACUGAUUUAAAUAUUUAUUUUGCAAAUUCACGUGAAUUAUAGAUCUAUAAAGUAUGAUCAUACUUUAAAAUGAUGAAGUAUCUAUGUUAGAUAUUUAUUUGAAAUUAGAUUAGUUAAUAUAUUAAAGAUUUAAUUUGUAUAUUUUAUACUGACAAAUAAUCAUAAAUGUAACUAUUUUAAAAAGUCACAAAUAUGAAUAGUUGUGAUGUUCAAUAAUGUAAAAAAAAUUAUAUUAAUAGGACAUGACAAUUAAUCUAUAUUUUAAAUUAUAAUUAUAUCCAAAUACUAUUUCUAAAAUUUUUUAUUCUAAAAGAAAAACUUAAAUUGCUUAAACAAUGAUUGAGGAGACUGUGCAAGAAUUAAUCUGUCUAAGUGAUUUGUUUAGAGGAAUUGCUUAAACAAUGAUGAAGUAUAAAAUUAAUUUACAUUAUUAAUACAUAAUUUUUGUCCCUCUUAGUAUAUAUCCAAAAGACGUAAAAAAACUCCAAAUUUAAAGUAAAGUUGUCGUUAAUGCUUAGAAUAAUCAUGUAAAUCAAAUGGACUUCAACUCGAUAUUCCUUGCAGUCGGAUAAGGUAAGAGACAAAUUUGUUGAAUAAAGGAAUCAAAAGUUUUAUGAAUAAUGAAUGUGAAAGCAUUGAAAGAACGAAAUGCAUAGCAUAGGUGCCAAUUUUGAAGAAUUGCCGUUCUUUGUGCAUUUGUUCAAGUCAACAACACUCCAUUUUCAAAUUUCUUUGCCCAUCUCUUCUGAUGUAAUAAGUCACUAACUUUGAAAUUUAUAUACUAACUAGCAAGACGUUGUUGUUGUUGUUGAAAUUGGAUACGUGCCUUGUGUGAUUUUAAAUAAAUUUUUUAUUUUUAUUUUUAUUAAUAAUAAAUAUUUUUUAUAUUUGUAAAUGUCAAAAAUUGUUCUUGUUUAUUUAAUAUUUAUAUUAAUAAAUAUUUAUCAUGUGUUUUUUGAUAUAAAUUUGUUCUGUAAUUUUUAUAUUUUUUUAUUGACAACGUACAUUUUUUCGUAUUAGGAAAAAAUAUUUAUCAAUGAUAAAAGUCUGUUAUGUGUUUUUUAAUAUUUAUUAAUGAUAAAUAUUUGUCUGUGUUUGUUUAUAUAUUAGUAGCAAAUACUUUUACUACAAUUUUUAUAUUUAUUAUUGUCAAUAUUUGUCCCAUGUAAUUUUUUUUAUAUUUAUAUUGACAAAUAUUUGCACCAUAUUUUUUUAAUAGUGAUUGAAAUUAAAAGAAAUAAGAAAGAAAAUAUUUGGACCAUAUUUUGUAUUGACAAAUAUUUGCACUAUAUUUAUAUUGACAAACAUUUCCACCAUAAUUUAUAGGACAUUCUUUUCUUAUAUUGAUAGUAGAUGUUUACUUUUAUUAUUGAUGGAACUUUGUGAGAUAUAACGUGGCCAUUUUAUUGUCUCUAAUAUUUUUUUUUAUAAUAAAAAUAACUUAUAAAAUAAUUAUAAAAAAAAUUUAAUUAGAAAAAUACAUUAUAUCUUUUAAUUUAAAUUUAAAUUGUAAGUGUUGUAAAUUUUAUCUAACGAUAUAAAAAUCAAACCAAUGAGCUGAUAUACUCAAAAAAAAAAAAUUGAAAAAAAUUUAAUUGAUUUUUUUUAUCCGUUCAUCGAACUAAAUAAACUCAAUCUCUGUUGAUUUUGGUAUAAUUUCACUUUAUUUAAAAUUGAUCAUCAAUAUCUGAAUAAAAUUAUUAGACUAUAUCAGUAGUGUUAUUUUAAAUAUAUGUUAUAUACCCAUAAAUCUGUCUCUUCUAAAUAUAUACAACUUUUAUGUCCAAUUUAUCUAUUUUUUACAGUUGUAUUUACAAAAAAAAAUUACAUAUUUACAUUGCAAAUUUACAACCUCAAAUUUUAAUAUAUAUAUAUAUAUAUAUAUAUAUAUAUAUUAAAAUAUCAUAUUUAAUUUAUCAAUUAAAAUUUAAAAAAUUCGACAUCUCAAAAUAUUUCCACCAAUGACUUUUGUGAGAUUUUUUUUAAAUAUAUACUAUUGUUAACUUUGUGAAUUUUAUUAAAUGAAAUUUGGGUUAGUUUUAUUUUUUAUUGAUGAGAAUGUGGUAGUUUCAUUUAUCAGAGAAUGAUUGUGAUGAGUUGGUAGUAUACAUUUUUGUACAUUGAUUGAAUACGACUAUUAAACUCAUAAAAUGAAUAAUUAUUUGUAUUUUUUAAUAUUUGCGUAAAUAUAUCAUACCUAACUACAAGUUCGUCUUUUUUACAAUGCAAUAUUUUAUUUUUAAAGUCUUUUUUUAUUUUAUUAGUAAAUUAAAAUAAACACGUAAUUUAAUAAAUACAAACACCUUUUUUUUUUUACUAAAUAGGCUUUUACCUUCGUUCUUAAAUAUUAAUUUAAUUGACAAAUAACAAUAUUGAUAGAUGAAAAGUCUUCUUACUUUCAAAAUUUAUUCUUUAAAAAAAUAAUACACACUCUAAUCUAGGCAAAGUAGCUAGUAAUUGAACUUAUUAAUGUAAUAUUUCUUAAGUAAUUUAAAAAAAAAAUAUUCAUUCCGUUUCAAAAUGAGUAUAACUUAAAAUUUUUGCACAUUUAUAAUACAACAAUUAGAAAUAAAAAAAGAUAAGUUAUUUUACAAACUAUUAAUCUUAAGUAUUGAUAUAUUUUUUACUAUUAUCAAUACAAAAGAUAAUAAUGAGUCCGUUUGUGUAAGAUUUUUUAAAAUCCCUCAAAUAUUUUAUAAUAAAAAGCCUCUAGAUGAAAGAAAAAAUUGCCGCUAUCCAGCUCGAUUAAGACUCUAUGGUGUAUUUUUUUGCAGUACCCAAAAAUAUUUAACAUUUAUUUUUUUAAUUAGUGUUUUUCUCUCUGAAUUUUUUGACACAUUUUAACGUGUGUAUGUUUUCCAAAUCUUCAAUUUGUUCCACUUCUCCUUGUUAGUUUUUAUGCCACAAAUUUCCAAAAUUCUCUCUGAAAAAUUUCAGAAUUUUCUCUCUUCUCCCUUUUUUGCUUCGCCUCAAAUUUUAUGUCCGUCACUUUAUCGAAAAAUUGUCCCUUCAAAUUUUCAAGUAGUUAUAAAAUCAUAUUUUUGAGUGUCCUUAACCGUCAUAUUAAGAUAGUGUAUUUCUAGAACGGUUUUUUACAAUGCAUUAAUUAAAUAGAUACAAUGUAUCUAAACUAUUUUAUCUCGAGGACACUGUAAUUGACCAUUUGUCUUACACAAUUUUAAAUUGUGCCACGAAACUUGUUAAAAAGAACAACAUAAUUAGCAAUUCAACCUAAUAAAAUAUUCGAUAAUUGAAAAUUAUUUUUCAAAACAAUUUUUCAAAAAUUAAAAGACAACAAGUCCUUAGCAGGACAAAAGGCUCUGUAUGAUGUAGUAAAGAUAACUAGUCUAUGAAUCUUUAUCACAUUGUCAUCAAAUAAAAGAGAAGGUGUGUUGAGUAAAUUUAAAGAGGAUUAUAGGGAGUGUUGGUUAAAAAUUAAUACCAGUGAGAAAUUACCUAUGACAACCAAGAUCUUUGAUCUUGAAUUUAUCAUUCACAAAGGAUUUUACCUGUUGUAUCUCAGACUAAUCAUUUCUUGUAACCACUAUGACAUCAACGUAUAUUAGUCACUCAAUAAUAUAUGAUUAUUCUUAUGUUUGAUGAAUAGAGAAAAAUCAGCAUGUGAGUGAGAAUAACUAAGGAAGGAGUUAGAGAAGUUGAAAUUUCUCCCUCUAAAAACUAGGGUGGAAACUUGUUUAUUAGCUUUAUUUUAAUAAAGUUAAUUAUGAUUAAAAGUGCCAUAAAUAUAAAAAUUUAUUUAUAUUUAAAUGUAUUUAUGUAAAAAUAAAUUAAAUAAUAAAUUAAAAAUUAAAAAAUUAUAAUUCAAAUUAAAAUUUAUUAUAAAAAUAAAAUCUCAAGAACAAACAAUUAAAUAUAAUAAAAUCAAUUAUGCUCUUUCUAAAAUCAAUUUUAGUUCCACCAAAAAUUAACACAAACUUACACAAUAAUAAAUUUAUUAAAAUCACAAUGAAUCACAUUCAUUUUAUACAAGCUACGAGUUCUAUACUUUUAUCGUGAUUAUGACAACAACAAAUUAAUUUCGUAUCAAACAUAUAUUAAUCACUAAUUUUGUUUGCGUAAUGCGCUUUGCUGCUGCGUGAUUACUCGUCGACUUGUACUUACUAAUCAACUAUAGAUUUUUUGUCUUUAACACAAACAAACAUGAGUCACUAAACCAAGACAAGUUCGGUUAGCACUUUUUUAACUUUAGUAUCUUACUGCACCACGUACAAACCUGUGCUAAUCCGUUAGACUAUAAUAGAUUACUUUUUAACCGAAAGUAAACAAAUGAUGGAUUUAAAUUGAUACAACCACCCAUAGUAUAAAUAUUUUAUAUGUUCUAACUAAUUUUGAUCUUGAUUGUUGAUUUGAUUAUUAAAGAUGUUUAAUUUUUAAAAGGUUGGAUAACUUAAUUAGCAUGAGAUAAAGGCUGAAGAUGUUGAAAGAGAGAAGAAAUAACUAUGAUAAAGAAGAAUUUAUUAAUUUAAUUAAUAAUACUAAUAUUUGUCUAUAAAAAAAUAUAUUUGGUUUUAACCGUAUUUUAAUAGUCAUAUAAAUUAUAAUUUAUGAUGGUAAAAUUAUUCUCUAAAUAAUAUUCUUUCAAUCUUGUAUUACGUGAUAUCAUACGAGGUUUCUUGGGUUUAAUAGAAGAUGAAGAGAGAUUUUAAUCGAAAUAAUAUAAAAAGAGAUAAUUAGAUAAAUGAAUAUAUGUUUGAUUUAAAAGUGGAAAGUAAAAAGAUAUAUUUUAAAUGGUUUUAUGUUUGGUCUGAAGAAAGGAGAAAUAUAUAAAAUUAGAUAAAAUAUAUCGUAUAUUCUUUUAAAUUAUACAAAAAUAUCAAAUUGAUUUUUUAUCUUUUUUUUUUGUUUUAAAUUAAUCUUUUAUGUUUCCAAAAGUUAUAAUGUUAAUUAUUUUUAGUCGUAACUUUGUUUCAAUUAUUUUUAGUUAGAUAUUUUAAAAUGGGACUAUGAAUUUUGUUAUCUAUUUCACUCGAAUUUUCUCUUCUUUAAUUAUUUUUCUAACAUUUAAUUGAAAGCUUAUAUUCUUAUGAUUAUUGCAUCAAAACCUCUUAAAAAUUACAUGAGUUUGUUGAAAAAUUUGGAGAAUUUUUUAUUUCAAUUUUGGUGAUUUAAAAUAAAAAUAAUUGGUAUGUAAAUAUUUACAAACAUAAAAGACGAACUUAAUAUCAAAUAGAUCUUUAAAAUUAUGCACACAAUAAAAAAAUUAUAUUAAAUUUUAUAUAAUCAAAUAAAUUUGAUUAACUAAAAUAUAUGUCUCUAAUAAAUUGUUAGUGUAGUAGUUCAAUUGAUUAAGAUAAAAUAAAUAAAGAUAUUAGAAAAAAAUAUAAACAAUAUUUCUAUUAAUAUUAUAAAAUAAAAUAAAAAUAAUAUGAAACAAAUAUAUAUUUUAAAUAUACCAGAGAUAUAAAGUAUCAAACAUAUAAACAAAUUUAAAGAUGAGCCAAUUAAUAUUUUAUCUCAAAAAAAAUUAAGGGUGAGACAAUGUAGUCUCAAAAAUUGUGAAAUACUUCUUUCGUUAUACAUUGAGGAGUUUAUUUGAUCAUUAUAUAUAAGUUAAGAAAUAUGUAUAAAUGUCUCAUAAGUGCAGUUAAUAAGAUAUAUAGUUGUAGCAAUAUUUGAUAUGUUAAGCAACAAUUUUAAAUUCAAGAAUAACCUUUUUUUCUUCUUCUUAAUAUUUAAUGUGCACAAAUUUUCAUACAAGGAGUUUUUUAGAAGAAGACAAUUUGUACAAAUAAAAGAAAAUAAUACUUUUAAUAAAUUAUCAUUAUUAAUUAUCAAUGUACUCUGUUACCAUGAUCAUGAAUACAAAGUGAAACAUAAUAAUUUGAGAGUUAUACAAAUAGGUAUAAUAGAAAAAAUAAUAAUUUAAAUAUUUAAUUUGUCCAUGUAAAUUGGUGUUUUUCUUAUUUUCGUCUUUGUAAGUGUUUUUUUCAAUUUAAAUCCUAUAAAUUCAAUUUAAUUUUAAAAUCAUCUCUAUCGAUAAUUACUGCUAAAAAAAACGUAUGUGGCAAAUAGACAAGUGACGUGGAAAUUUGACGUGAUAAAUUAAUAAAUUAAAUAAUUAAUUUUUUUUUAAGAUAUUAUGUUUUAGUUCUUCAAUCCAAAAUCAAAAAAAGUUUGGGAUUAAAUUUUCUACUUCUUUCUCUGUCAUCGCAUUAUCAUUACUAUAUCACUAACAUCGCAUCACCAUAUUUAAAUCACCAUUAUCGAAUCACCAUAAUCGAAUCACCAUCUUUGAAUAGCAAAUACAUCUCUAACUAAUAUAUCUUUUAUUAAUAAUUUAUAAAUUAAAUUGAUCAACGAAAAAUAUAUUAAGAAACUAACCUAUUCAAUUUUUACAAUUUCAAAUAUACACAUAUUGAUUCACUCAAUUUAAAACCCUACUAGUAAUUUUUAAAAGUAAAUAUUAAUUCAUUUUAGUCUCUCCAUAUGUGAGACAUCGUCACUUAGUUUUUGAAUGUAUAUCAAAUUAGCAAAUACAUCUCUAACCAAUAUAUCUAUUAUUAGUAAUUUUAUGAAUUAAAUUGAUCAACAAAAAAUAUAUUUAAAUAUUAAACUGAUUAAUUAAAAAUAUAUUUGAGAACAAAAAUGAUUAACAAAAAAAAUAUUUAAAUAUAUUUUUAUAAUUUAAAUACAUUCAAAUGCUAUUGUAACAAUGUCUCACACAUUAAAAUAUAUAAACAAAAACUCAAAUAAUUUGAUUUAAUGAUAAAAAAAAAUAUAUAUGAAGUCUGACAUUGUAAUUUUGAUUAUCAUUGAUGUCAUUAAAAAGCAAAAUAUAAAUCCAAUAAGACCUAAAAUCGUCAAUUUUUACAUAAAAAGGGACCUAAAUUGAUGUAUAAUAUAAUUUAUAAACCGUCUUUGAGUGUGAGACUGGUUCAUAUAGUAUUUUUUUCCCGCAACCCAAUUAAAACGUACCGUCUUCUAGUCAUGUUAGCAUUUUUCUUAAAAGAUUGUCCAAAUUCAACACAAAGAGCAUUGACCCAACAACCUCAAUAAACUUCUUGAGCUAAAUAUGUGCUACCCAAGUUUCUAUAAAUACCAUCCCUCACUAUGUCAUAAACCGCAUCACAAACAUUAUAUAUUAUAUAAUAACUCCUCCUAUAUUUUUUGUUGCAUCUAUAUAAUAUAUAUCAUGGGUGUUUUUUCUUUCGAUGAUGAACUCCACUCAACUAUUGUUCCAGCUAAACUCUACAAAGCUCUUGCUAAAGAUGCUGAUGAUAUAGUUCCAAAGGUUAUUGAGGCCAUCCAAAGUGUUGAAAUUGUUGAAGGAAAUGGAGGACCCGGAACCAUCAAGAAGCUAACCGCUGUUCAUGGUAAUUCAAAAUAUCAUUUUCACACACUCUCUAUAAGGAAAUAUAAACAAAGAUGAUAUAUAAAAAAUUGAUAUAUCUUAUUAAAAAUUAUGAUUAAAUAUAUUAAAAAAUUUAUAUGUUUCAUUUUAGAAUAGUACGUUGUAAUUACAAUCAAUUAAUAAUGCAUGUAUUUUAAAGUAAUUAUAUUUUAAUGUGGUUGAUUAGAUAAUUUUAUUCAAUGAUUAAUUUAUAAGUAAUUAGUUAAUUUAUUAAGUUUAGUUAAAACAAUUUUUUCAACCAUCAAUCAAUAAUUUAUUAAGUUUAUUAAGUAAUUAUGACAUCUUUAAUGUUUUCAGCUUCCAAAAUCAGCCCAACAUAUCAGUUUUUUUCCCCUUAAACUGAUUUCAUGUGCGUGGUUAAUAAUUUUGUUUUUAAAAUUUGUAUGAAUUAUGAUGGUUGUAUUGCAGGUGGCAAAACAAGCUAUGUGCUACACAAAUUAGAUGCAAUUGAUGAAGCAAACUUUGGAUAUAACUACAGCUUAGUGGGAGGAACAGAUGUGGAUGAAAGUUUAGAGAAAGUUACAUUUGAGACAAAGAUAGUGGCUGGUCCAUCUGGUGGGUCCAUAGUGAAAAUCUCAGUGAAAUAUCACACCAAAGGCGAUUUAGUUUUAUCUGAUGCAGUGCGUGAUGAAACAAAAGCCAAAGGAACUGGACUUCUUAAGGCCAUUGAGGGUUACGUUUUGGCUAAUCCUGAUUACUAAGUAAAUUAAAUUAAAUGUUUGUUUUCAUUUUGGUCUUGUUGUGUCGUGCGAGUGAUUAAUAAUUGAAGUCUAUGAU
Molecule: long non-coding RNA, 12379 nt
Filed under: Cicer arietinum (chickpea)
Lineage: Eukaryota; Viridiplantae; Streptophyta; Magnoliopsida; Fabales; Fabaceae
Description: long non-coding RNA (CARI_LNC000146)
Source: RNAcentral